AUACUUACCUGGCAAGGGAGACACUGUGAUCAAGAAGGCGGUUCACCCAGGGCGAGGCUCAGCCGUUGCACUCCGGCUGUGCUGACCCCUGCGAAUUUCCCAAAUGUGGAAAUCUCGAUUGCAUAAUUUCUGGUAGUGGGGGCUGCGUUCGCGCUCUCCCCUG
This 163-nucleotide small nuclear RNA is filed under the name Salmo salar (Atlantic salmon). RNAcentral's name for it is "U1 spliceosomal RNA". It matches the Rfam family "U1 spliceosomal RNA". Rfam says of the family: U1 is a small nuclear RNA (snRNA) component of the spliceosome (involved in pre-mRNA splicing). Its 5' end forms complementary base pairs with the 5' splice junction, thus defining the 5' donor site of an intron. Lineage: Eukaryota; Metazoa; Chordata; Actinopteri; Salmoniformes; Salmonidae. The record is from Rfam by way of RNAcentral.